RNAcentral lists this ribosomal RNA (433 nucleotides) under uncultured bacterium. Its description in RNAcentral is "partial 16S ribosomal RNA". It matches the Rfam family "Bacterial small subunit ribosomal RNA", at positions 29 to 507 of the family's 1533-position model. The record is from RNAcentral.
AACGAACGCUGGCGGCAUGCCUAACACAUGCAAGUCGAACGAGACCUUCGGGUCUAGUGGCGCACGGGUGCGUAACGCGUGGGAACCUGCCCUUAGGUUCGGAAUAACUCCCCGAAAGGGGUGCUAAUACCGGAUAAUGUCUUCGGACCAAAGAUUUAUCGCCUUUGGAGGGGCCCGCGUGGGAUUAGCUGGUGGGUAGGGUAAAAGCCUACCAAGGCGACGAUCCAUAGCUGGGUUGAGAGGAUGGUCAGCCACACUGGGACUGAGACACGGCCCGGACUCUUACGGGAGGCAGCAGUGGGGAAUAUUGGACAAUGGGCGAAAGCCUGAUCCAGCAAUGCCGCGUGAGUGAUGAAGGCCGUAGGGUUGUAAAGCUCUUUUACCCGGGAUGAUAAUGACAGUACCGGGAGAAUAAGCUCCGGCUAACUCCGUG